CCUACGUGCGGCAGCAGUGAGGAAUCUUGGUCAAUGGACGAGAGUCUGAACCAGCCAAGUAGCGUGAAGGAUGACUGCCCUAUGGGUUGUAAACUUCUUUUAUAUGGGAAUAAAACGUUCCACGUGUGGGAUUUUGUAUGUACCAUAUGAAUAAGGAUCGGCUAACUCCGUGCCAGCAGCCGCGGUAAUACGGAGGAUCCGAGCGUUGUCCGGAUGUAUUGGGUUUAAAGGGCGCGUAGGUGGAUUGUUAAGUCAGUUGUGAAAGUUUGCGGCUCAACCGUAAAAUUGCAGGUGAAACUGGCAGUCUUGAGUACAGUAGGGGUGGGUGGAAUUCGUGGUGUAGCGGUGAAAUGCUUAGAUAUCACGAAGAACUCCGAUGGCGAAGGCAGUUCACUGGACUGCAACUGACACUGAGGCUCGAAAGUGUGGGUAUCAAACAGGAUUAGAUACCCUGGUAGUC
Molecule: ribosomal RNA, 460 nt
Filed under: uncultured bacterium
Lineage: Bacteria
Description: partial 16S ribosomal RNA
Rfam family: Bacterial small subunit ribosomal RNA
Source: RNAcentral